RNAcentral lists this ribosomal RNA (1062 nucleotides) under Triticum aestivum (bread wheat). RNAcentral's name for it is "partial small subunit ribosomal RNA". Lineage: Eukaryota; Viridiplantae; Streptophyta; Magnoliopsida; Poales; Poaceae. The record is from RNAcentral.
AUGACUAUAGCCCUUGGUAGAAUUCCUAAAGAAGAAAAUGAUCUAUUUGAUACUAUGGAUGACUGGUUACGAAGGGACCGUUUCUUUUUUGUAGGAUGGUCUGGCCUAUUGCUCUUUCCUUGUGCUUAUUUCGCUUUAGGGGGUUGGUUUACAGGGACAACUUUUGUAACUUCUUGGUAUACCCAUGGAUUGGCUAGUUCCUAUUUGGAAGGUUGUAAUUUCUUAACCGCAGCAGUUUCUACCCCUGCCAAUAGUUUAGCACACUCUUUGUUGCUACUAUGGGGGCCCGAAGCACAAGGAGAUUUUACUCGUUGGUGUCAAUUAGGUGGUCUAUGGACUUUUGUAGCUCUCCACGGGGCUUUUGCACUAAUAGGUUUCAUGUUACGCCAAUUUGAACUUGCUCGGUCUGUUCAAUUGCGGCCUUAUAAUGCAAUCUCAUUCUCUGGUCCAAUUGCUGUUUUUGUUUCUGUAUUCCUUAUUUAUCCAUUGGGGCAAUCUGGUUGGUUCUUUGCGCCGAGUUUUGGCGUAGCAGCGAUAUUUCGAUUCAUCCUUUUCUUCCAAGGAUUUCAUAAUUGGACGUUGAACCCAUUUCAUAUGAUGGGAGUUGCCGGAGUAUUAGGUGCGGCUCUGCUAUGUGCUAUUCAUGGAGCGACCGUAGAAAACACUCUAUUUGAGGACGGUGAUGGUGCAAAUACCUUCCGUGCUUUUAACCCAACUCAAGCUGAAGAAACUUAUUCAAUGGUCACUGCUAACCGCUUUUGGUCCCAAAUCUUUGGUGUUGCUUUUUCCAAUAAACGUUGGUUACAUUUCUUUAUGCUAUUUGUACCCGUCACUGGUUUAUGGAUGAGUGCUAUUGGCGUAGUUGGCUUGGCUCUGAACUUACGUGCCUAUGACUUUGUUUCCCAGGAAAUCCAUGCAGCGGAAGAUCCUGAAUUUGAGACUUUCUACACCAAAAAUAUUAUUUUAAACAAGGGUAUUCGUGCGUGGAUGGCAGCUCAGGAUCAGCCUCAUGAAAAUCUUAUAUUCCCUGAGGAGGUUCUACCACGUGGAAACGCUCUUUAA